CUGAACUGUAUUUAAAUCUCAAAGGAUGGACAUCUCACAACCUUCCUACAGCAAGUACUGUGAGAAAAGAUACUAGCACCCAUCUGGCAGGGGCCUUUACUAGUUUCAAGCACACUGAGCAGACCUACACCUUGCCUUCUGAGAGAGAAGAGGACAGUCCUCAGCCUCCUGAAGCCUGGCAAGGGUGCCUUAGUGAGGACAUCACCUGCAACUCCCAGAUGGAUAAAUGAGGCCAUGGAGAGAGGAGAACACCAACCCAUGAGUGACAAGUGCCUGCCAUUGUCAAUGAUGCUGCAAGUACCAUGAUGCCCCUUCUUAGCAGGGACCCAGUGGGCCUUAGCAGCUUCGUUAUUUUCUAGGCAUGAUCGCAUCUGUCUCCCAUUUUUGCUAAAAUUCUAUCUAGAGAAAGAGCUCAUUUUUAGCU
This 424-nucleotide long non-coding RNA is filed under the name Pongo abelii (Sumatran orangutan). RNAcentral describes it as "lincRNA". Lineage: Eukaryota; Metazoa; Chordata; Mammalia; Primates; Hominidae. The record is from RNAcentral.